GUAACAUUGACCUUUUUAAGGAACUUGUGUUUCCUUUAACAGUUGUGGUAAAAAACUUUGAGAAACUUAGGCAUUGGGAGGAUCCCCUAUUAACUGCCUCUUCUCUUGCACUCGUAUAUACGAUUAUAUUCAGGAAUAUGCUAUCUUAUAUAUUACCAUCAAUGUUGAUGGGCUUGGCUGCUGGUAUGUUAUUACUUAAGGGGCUCAAGGAACAAGGCCGCCUUGGAAGAUAUUUUGGAAAAGUAACCAUACGUGAUCAACCACCAUCAAAUACUCUACAGAAAAUUAUUGCAGUUAAAGAGGCUUUGCGUGAAGUUGAGAAGUAUAUGCAGAGCUUGAAUGUGUCGCUGCUCAAGAUUCGAGCAAUUAUUCUUGCUGGUCAACCUCAGAUUACGAUGGAAGUCGCUCUGGCUCUACUAUUUGGUGCAACUAUUCUCUUAAUUGUUCCAUUCAAGUACAUAGCUGCUUUCCUGAUUUCUGAUGCAUUCACCCGAGAACUCGCGUUUCGAAGGCAAAUGGUUUUGAGAUUCAUGAGCUUUCUUAAGGAGCGAUGGGAAACAGUGCCUGCCACCCCAGUUGUUGUACUACCAUUCGAGGAAGAUGAGUCCGAUGCACCAAACCAAAGAAAGUUGUCCAGCAAUGACGUAGUAAAACCAGAGAAACAGUUAAAGCAGUAGGUUAUUGUAAAUCUUCUUUUAGGUAACUUUCUUUUCUUUUUUUCCUUUUUUCUUUAUAGUAGGUGGUUACAGCUGGUGUGACGGUUCUAAGAUUGAAGCAGAAACUGUUUUUUG
RNAcentral lists this unclassified non-coding RNA (791 nucleotides) under Hevea brasiliensis (rubber tree). Lineage: Eukaryota; Viridiplantae; Streptophyta; Magnoliopsida; Malpighiales; Euphorbiaceae. The record is from RNAcentral.